UGGGGAAUCUUGCACAAUGGGGGCAACCCUGAUGCAGCGACGCCGCGUGAGCGAUGAAGCCCUUCGGGGCGUAAAGCUCUUUCGACCGGAACGAUAAUGACGGUACCGGGAGAAGAAGCUGCGGCUAACUACGUGCCAGCAGCCGCGGUAAUACGUAGGCAGCAAGCGUUGUUCGGAGUUACUGGGCGUAAAGAGUGCGUAGGCGGUUUUCUAAGUUCGGUGUGAAAUCUCCCGGCUUAACUGGGAGGGUGCGCCGAAGACUGGGAAGGUGGAGUGUGGGAAAGGCAGGCGGAAUUCCUGGUGUAGCGGUGAAAUGCGUAGAUAACAGGAGGAACACCGGCGGUGUAGACGGCUUGCUAGACCAUAACUGACGCUGAGGCACGAAAGCGUGGGUAGCAAAC
Molecule: ribosomal RNA, 401 nt
Filed under: uncultured bacterium
Lineage: Bacteria
Description: bacterial SSU rRNA
Rfam family: Bacterial small subunit ribosomal RNA
Source: RNAcentral